RNAcentral lists this long non-coding RNA (456 nucleotides) under Musa acuminata (dwarf banana). Its description in RNAcentral is "long non-coding RNA (MACU_LNC011664)". The record is from RNAcentral. Lineage: Eukaryota; Viridiplantae; Streptophyta; Magnoliopsida; Zingiberales; Musaceae.
UGGAUCUUUGAAAAUUGUAUUGGCUCUGCAAUUCUACUCUCGUGGAGUUGUUGAUAUCAGACUCAUGUGAAUAAUCCAACCACCCUUUUAUAAUAUCUAGCUGCUUUCCUCCAUUUUGGCGCUUUCGCGACUAUGUAUACUUAUACUGCAUGCUUGUUAGAGGAAGCCAAGCCACAACCUUCCUUCCCCGAGCUCUCUUUCUCAAGUCUCAGAACUCGAAGAGCAUCGAAGCAAUGACGGAGAAGGUGAUCAAAUUCCUGACCACUCCAUUCAGCUUCUUCUUUUCCUUCUAUUGUGUUUGUGAGAGUUCAGUUUCGUACAUCAUAUUAUUCUUUAGUUUCUAUAGUUUGCUGUGAGAUCUUCAUAUUUCUCGGCCUUCGGAGUUGUGAGAUCGUCUUAUGGUUUGUGUUCGCUUGCAUUUACUGUCAGGUCUCCACCUUGAUCAUAGAAGCAGAU